RNAcentral lists this non-coding RNA (24 nucleotides) under Arabidopsis thaliana (thale cress). Lineage: Eukaryota; Viridiplantae; Streptophyta; Magnoliopsida; Brassicales; Brassicaceae. The record is from RNAcentral.
CAAGGUGUCUUGCCAUUUUCACAA